GAUGAAGAACGUAGCGAAAUGCGAUAAGUAAUGUGAAUUGCAGAAUUCAGUGAAUCAUCGAUUCUUUGAACGCACAUUGCGCCCAUUAGUAUUCUAGUGGGCAUGCCUGUUCGAGCGUCAUUAAGUCCACUUAAGCCCUGCUUAGUGUUGGGAGACUGCUCCAGCGGUGCUACCCUGUAGCUACCCUGCAGCUCCUCAAAGACAGCGGCGGAGUUGUGGUAUCCUCUGAGCUUAGUAACUUGUUCUAGCUUUCGAGUACACCACUUCCCCUGCCGUAAAACCCUUAAUUUUUAAUGGUUGACCUCGGAUCAGGUAGGAAUACCCGCUGAACUUAAGCAUAUCAAUAAGCGGAGGA
RNAcentral lists this unclassified non-coding RNA (355 nucleotides) under soil metagenome. RNAcentral's name for it is "partial contains 5.8S ribosomal RNA, internal transcribed spacer 2, and large subunit ribosomal RNA". The stretch from base 1 to 120 matches the Rfam family "5.8S ribosomal RNA", at positions 35 to 154 of the family's 154-position model. The record is from RNAcentral.